GUGCCAGCCGCCGCGGUAAUACGGAGGGUGCAAGCGUUACUCGGAAUCACUGGGCGUAAAGCGCGCGCAGGCGGCCUUUUAAGUUGGAUGUGAAAGCCUAUGGCUCAACCAUAGAACUGCAUCCAAAACUAUUAGGCUAGAGUGUGGGAGAGGAAGAUGGAAUUAGUUGUGUAGGGGUAAAAUCCGUAGAGAUAACUAGGAAUACCAAAAGCGAAGGCAAUCUUCUGGAACAUUACUGACGCUGAGGCGCGAAAGCGUGGGGAGCAAACAGGAUUAGAUACCCUGGUAGUCCACGCCCUAAACGAUGAAUGUUAGUCGUCGGGUAGCUAGUCUAUUCGGUGAUGCAGCUAACGCAUUAAACAUUCCGCCUGGGGAGUACGGUCGCAAGAUUAAAACUCAAAGGAAUAGACGGGGACCCGCACAAGUGGUGGAGCAUGUGGUUUAAUUCGAAGAUACGCGAAGAACCUUACCUAGCCUUGACAUAUAUUAGAACUCAGCAGAGAUGCAGAGGUGCCUUCGGGAGCUUUUAUACAGGUGCUGCACGGCUGUCGUCAGCUCGUGUCGUGAGAUGUUGGGUUAAGUCCCGCAACGAGCGCAACCCUCGUCACUAGUUACUAACGGUUCGGCCGAGGACUCUAGUGAGACUGCCUUCNNAAGGAGGAGGAAGGUGAGGACGACGUCNAGUCAUCAUGGCCCUUACGGCUAGGGCAACACACGUGCUACAAUGGCCAGGACAGUGAGACGCNAUACCGCGAGGUGNAGCAAAUCU
Molecule: ribosomal RNA, 769 nt
Filed under: uncultured Sulfurovum sp.
Lineage: Bacteria; Pseudomonadati; Campylobacterota; Epsilonproteobacteria; Campylobacterales; Sulfurovaceae
Description: bacterial SSU rRNA
Rfam family: Bacterial small subunit ribosomal RNA
Source: RNAcentral